GUUGAACGCUGGCGGCGUGCCUAAUACAUGCAAGUCGAGCGAACGGACGAGAAGCUUGCUUCUCUGAUGUUAGCGGCGGACGGGUGAGUAACACGUGGAUAACCUACCUAUAAGACUGGGAUAACUUCGGGAAACCGGAGCUAAUACCGGAUAAUAUUUUGAACCGCAUGGUUCAAAAGUGAAAGACGGUCUUGCUGUCACUUAUAGAUGGAUCCGCGCUGCAUUAGCUAGUUGGUAAGGUAACGGCUUACCAAGGCAACGAUGCAUAGCCGACCUGAGAGGGUGAUCGGCCACACUGGAACUGAGACACGGUCCAGACUCCUACGGGAGGCAGCAGUAGGGAAUCUUCCGCAAUGGGCGAAAGCCUGACGGAGCAACGCCGCGUGAGUGAUGAAGGUCUUCGGAUCGUAAAACUCUGUUAUUAGGGAAGAACAGAUGUGUAAGUAACUGUGCACAUCUUGACGGUACCUAAUCAGAAAGCCACGGCUAACUACGUG
RNAcentral lists this ribosomal RNA (497 nucleotides) under uncultured bacterium. RNAcentral's name for it is "partial 16S ribosomal RNA". It matches the Rfam family "Bacterial small subunit ribosomal RNA", at positions 28 to 507 of the family's 1533-position model. The record is from RNAcentral.